GUGAUGCAAAUGAUGAGCUCAUAGUUCAGCAGAAUUUCCAUGUAGAACGAACAAAUUUUGUCUUUCGCUCCUAUCUGAUGCAUCAC
Small nucleolar RNA from Labeo rohita (rohu), 86 nucleotides. RefSeq annotates it as small nucleolar RNA snR60/Z15/Z230/Z193/J17. The transcript has a single exon. NCBI's taxonomy places the organism in Eukaryota, Metazoa, Chordata, Actinopteri, Cypriniformes, Cyprinidae. The record is from RefSeq and is a predicted model, not a curated record.